CGGGACUGAGACACUGCCCGGACUCCUACGGGAGGCUGCAGUCAAGAAUCUUCCGCAAUGGCCGAAAGGCUGACGGAGCGACGCCGCGUGCAGGAUGAAGGCCUUCGGGUCGUAAACUGCUUUUAUUAGGGAAAAAUUUCUGAUUGUACCUAAUGAAUAAGGGACUGCUAACUUCGUGCCAGCAGCAGCGGUAAUACGAAGGUCCCAAGCGUUGUCCGGUGUUAUUAGGCGUAAAGCGUCCGCAGGUUGUUUAGCGCAUCUUUGGUCAAAUCUAUGGGCUCAACCCAUAAACCGCCAAAGAGAUGGCUAAACUAGAGGCAGGGAGAGGCACAUGGAAUGGCUGGUGUAGUAGUAAAAUGCGUUAAUAUCAGCUAGAACACCAAAAGCGAAAGCAAUGUGCUGGAACUGUCCUGACACUCAUGGACGAAAGCGUGGGUAGCGAAUGGGAUUAGAUACCCCAGUAGUCCACGCCGUAAAUGUUGGAUACUAGAUAUUGGAAGUAUCGACCCUUUCAGUGUCGUUUACCGAAGUUAACACCUUAAGUAUCCCGCCUGGGGAGUACGGCCGCAAGGCUAAAACUCAAAGGAAUUGACGGGGGCCCGCACAAGCAGCGGAGCGUGUGGUUUAAUUCGAUGCAACGCGAAGAACCUUACCAAGGCUUGACAUGCUGGAAGUAGUGAACCGAAAGGGGAUCGACCUGUUAAGUCAGGAGCCAGCACAGGUGCUACAUGGCUGUCGUCAGCUCGUGCCGUGAGGUGUUUGGUUAAGUCCUGCAACGAGCGCAACCCUUAUUGCUAGUUGUUUUUUCUAGCGAGACUGCCCCGCAAAACAGGGAGGAAGGUGGGGAUGACGUCAAGUCAGCACGGCCCUUAUGCCUUGGGCUACACACACGCUACAAUGGGUGGUACAGUAGGUUGCAAUGGAGCGAUCCGGAGCUAAUCCCUAAAGCCAUCCUCAGUUCGGAUUGCAGGCUGAAACUCGCCU
RNAcentral lists this ribosomal RNA (984 nucleotides) under marine metagenome. RNAcentral's name for it is "bacterial SSU rRNA". It matches the Rfam family "Bacterial small subunit ribosomal RNA", at positions 314 to 1317 of the family's 1533-position model. The record is from RNAcentral.